This 590-nucleotide ribosomal RNA is filed under the name uncultured fungus from ectomycorrhizal root. RNAcentral's name for it is "eukaryotic LSU rRNA". The stretch from base 205 to 359 matches the Rfam family "5.8S ribosomal RNA". The record is from RNAcentral. Lineage: Eukaryota; Fungi.
UCAUUACUGAAUUGUCAAACGGGUUGUUGCUGGCCCUCAUAGGGGGCAUGUGCACACUCUGUUUACACAUCCACUCACACCUGUGCACCCUCUGUAGUUCUAUGGUCUGGGGGACCCUGUCUUCCUUCUGUGGUUCUACGUCUCUACACACACACUGUAAUAAAGUUUUAUGGAAUGUACAUCGCGUCUAACGCAAUACAAUACAACUUUCAGCAACGGAUCUCUUGGCUCUCGCAUCGAUGAAGAACGCAGCGAAAUGCGAUAAGUAAUGUGAAUUGCAGAAUUCAGUGAAUCAUCGAAUCUUUGAACGCACCUUGCGCCCCUUGGCUAUUCCGAGGGGCAUGCCUGUUUGAGUAUCAUGAACACCUCAACUCUCAUGGUUUGCCAUGAUGAGUUGGACUCUGGGGGUUUUGCUGGCCUGUGGUCGGCUCCUCUCAAAUUAAUCAGCCUCCCAGUGUUUGGUGGCAUCACGGGUGUGAUAAAUAUCUACGCUCGCUGUUGUCUGCCAGGUAACCUUUGGUCACAAAGGUUUGCUGGAGCUCACAGAUGUCUCUCCUCAGCGAGGACAGCUUUUUUAACGUUCGAUCUCA